GGGACACGUGGUAUCCUGUCUGAAUAUGGGGGGACCAUCCUCCAAGGCUAAAUACUCCUGACUGACCGAUAGUGAACCAGUACCGUGAGGGAAAGGCGAAAAGAACCCCGGCGAGGGGAGUGAAAAAGAACCUGAAACCGUGUACGUACAAGCAGUGGGAGCACGCUUAGGCGUGUGACUGCGUACCUUUUGUAUAAUGGGUCAGCGACUUAUAUUCUGUAGCAAGGUUAACCGAAUAGGGGAGCCGAAGGGAAACCGAGUCUUAACUGGGCGUUAAGUUGCAGGGUAUAGACCCGAAACCCGGUGAUCUAGCCAUGGGCAGGUUGAAGGUUGGGUAACACUAACUGGAGGACCGAACCGACUAAUGUUGAAAAAUUAGCGGAUGACUUGUGGCUGGGGGUGAAAGGCCAAUCAAACCGGGAGAUAGCUGGUUCUCCCCGAAAGCUAUUUAGGUAGCGCCUCGUGAAUUCAUCUCCGGGGGUAGAGCACUGUUUCGGCAAGGGGGUCAUCCCGACUUACCAACCCGAUGCAAACUGCGAAUACCGGAGAAUGUUAUCACGGGAGACACACGGCGGGUGCUAACGUCCGUCGUGAAGAGGGAAACAACCCAGACCGCCAGCUAAGGUCCCAAAGUCAUGGUUAAGUGGGAAACGAUGUGGGAAGGCCCAGACAGCCAGGAUGUUGGCUUAGAAGCAGCCAUCAUUUAAAGAAAGCGUAAUAGCUCACUGGUCGAGUCGGCCUGCGCGGAAGAUGUAACGGGGCUAAACCAUGCACCGAAGCUGCGGCAGCGACACUAUGUGUUGUUGGGUAGGGGAGCGUUCUGUAAGCCUGUGAAGGUGUGCUGUGAGGCAUGCUGGAGGUAUCAGAAGUGCGAAUGCUGACAUAAGUAACGAUAAAGCGGGUGAAAAGCCCGCUCGCCGGAAGACCAAGGGUUCCUGUCCAACGUUAAUCGGGGCAGGGUGAGUCGACCCCUAAGGCGAGGCCGAAAGGCGUAGUCGAUGGGAAACAGGUUAAUAUUCCUGUACUUGGUGUUACUGCGAAGGGGGGACGGAGAAGGCUAUGUUGGCCGGGCGACGGUUGUCCCGGUUUAAGCGUGUAGGCUGGUUUUCCAGGCAAAUCCGGAAAAUCAAGGCUGAGGCGUGAUGACGAGGCACUACGGUGCUGAAGCAACAAAUGCCCUGCUUCCAGGAAAAGCCUCUAAGCAUCAGGUAACAUCAAAUCGUACCCCAAACCGACACAGGUGGUCAGGUAGAGAAUACCAAGGCGCUUGAGAGAACUCGGGUGAAGGAACUAGGCAAAAUGGUGCCGUAACUUCGGGAGAAGGCACGCUGAUAUGUAGGUGAAGUCCCUCGCGGAUGGAGCUGAAAUCAGUCGAAGAUACCAGCUGGCUGCAACUGUUUAUUAAAAACACAGCACUGUGCAAACACGAAAGUGGACGUAUACGG
This 1445-nucleotide ribosomal RNA is filed under the name Escherichia coli. Its description in RNAcentral is "partial 23S ribosomal RNA". It matches the Rfam family "Bacterial large subunit ribosomal RNA", at positions 419 to 1850 of the family's 2925-position model. The record is from RNAcentral. Lineage: Bacteria; Pseudomonadati; Pseudomonadota; Gammaproteobacteria; Enterobacterales; Enterobacteriaceae.